Triticum dicoccoides is the source of this 1263-nucleotide long non-coding RNA. RefSeq lists it as uncharacterized. NCBI's taxonomy places the organism in Eukaryota, Viridiplantae, Streptophyta, Magnoliopsida, Poales, Poaceae. The transcript has 4 exons. The record is from RefSeq and is a predicted model, not a curated record.
AGUCCACUCCUCGCGCGCGACGUGCGUCCUGGGACCGCCCAAUCCCCGAGCCCUCACCCCUUCUUCCUCCUCUCUCCCACGUCAGCCGCCAUAGCAAGAACCGUAGCCCCCUUCCCUAGAUCCCCGUUGCCGCCGCCCCUCCCGCAUCUGCUCUCUCCUUCCUCUCUCUGUUGUCAGCCGCCGCUACAACUCCUCCCUUCCCCGUCUUUGUCCGUGCAGCCGACCAACUUAGCUCCGCCCGGCGAUCGCUGCCUCCCCAGUUCAUCAUCCCUCCCUUGCUGCUCUACUUUCACCAGGGACGGACGAAUCCAUGCACCCCCUCGCCUAGAACCGCUAGGUGAAGAAGAUGGACGAGCGCGAGGGUCGGAGGAGGCCACAAGGCGACGGAUCUAGCGCGGGAUUACGGGUUUCAAGACCCUCGUGGUUGACCUCCUCUUCGCUUCUUCCUCGUACUACUGCAUCCCUUCGGUUCUUCCCCUCUACAAUGUGAUGCAGAUUACUUGUGAUUUUCUGCAAAAUCAACUUGUCAAGGAGUGGUGUCAAUGGAAGCCGUGACAGUCAUUCUGGUGACAUAUGCACAUCAGGUCGGCACCGCUGUUGUCACUGGGCAGAAUGGAUGACUGGCCAUGGGCAGGCUCGGAGCCCUCUGCGAACAGGUUUGCAUGUUCAGUCAAUGGGAAAUUGGUAGCAACUUUCCUGCACUUUUUGGAUGCAUUGCUUUGAUAGUUUUGCUUGCGGUGCCUAAAUUACAGCCUGCCAAUGGCGUGGAGUUUAGGUGGCUAGCCCAUGCAUUGGGAAGAGUUUGGGCGGGUCGCGGUUGAUAUCGGACCUGUAAAUGAAGAAAUUUUCAUUGCAGUGGGCAUAAUUAAUGGUGUGGUGGGGCUUAGUUGCGCGCUCGUUGGUCUGCCCAGGGCGAAGGAGUUCACCGUGGUGGACAUGCCACUCCUGGAGCGGCUCUUCAUGUUCCUGCCGCCUAAUGUUGUGGUGGGGCUUAGGAUCGCUUGUGCUCCCAACCCGCGGGUGCUCGCCUACCUAGACACAAAGAGCUCGCAUGCUACAGAUUGGUGUCAGCAUCAUUGGGGCACAUCUCUCUGGUCUACAUCUCUCUUGCAACUUGAAAUUAUUCCAUCGACAUUGAUCCAACCAUCAUGUUCUCCUUUGUGAUUAGAAAACUAUCAAUGACUUGUGAUAAUAAUGUUGCUUUAGCUGUAGCUCAUUGCAGUCUCUAAAAAUUAUUCCAGUAAUCCCUCUUCUUCUCUUCUC